AGGCCUAACACAUGCAAGUCGAGCGGAUGAGAAGAGCUUGCUCUUCAAUUCAGCGGCGGACGGGUGAGUAAUGCCUAGGAAUCUGCCUGGUAGUGGGGGACAACGUUUCGAAAGGAACGCUAAUACCGCAUACGUCCUACGGGAGAAAGCAGGGGACCUUCGGGCCUUGCGCUAUCAGAUGAGCCUAGGUCGGAUUAGCUAGUUGGUGAGGUAAUGGCUCACCAAGGCGACGAUCCGUAACUGGUCUGAGAGGAUGAUCAGUCACACUGGAACUGAGACACGGUCCAGACUCCUACGGGAGGCAGCAGUGGGGAAUAUUGGACAAUGGGCGAAAGCCUGAUCCAGCCAUGCCGCGUGUGUGAAGAAGGUCUUCGGAUUGUAAAGCACUUUAAGUUGGGAGGAAGGGCAUUAACCUAAUACGUUAGUGUUUUGACGUUACCGACAGAAUAAGCACCGGCUAACUCUGUGCCAGCAGCCGCGGUAAUACAGAGGGUGCAAGCGUUAAUCGGAAUUACUGGGCGUAAAGCGCGCGUAGGUGGUUUGUUAAGUUGGAUGUGAGAGCCCCGGGCUCAACCUGGGAACUGCAUCCAAAACCGGCAAGCUAGAGUACGGUAGAGGGUGGUGGAAUUUCCUGUGUAGCGGUGAUAUGCGUAGAUAUAGGAAGGUACACCAGUGGCGAAGGCGACCA
This 688-nucleotide ribosomal RNA is filed under the name uncultured Pseudomonadales bacterium. Its description in RNAcentral is "bacterial SSU rRNA". It matches the Rfam family "Bacterial small subunit ribosomal RNA", at positions 44 to 727 of the family's 1533-position model. Lineage: Bacteria; Pseudomonadati; Pseudomonadota; Gammaproteobacteria; Pseudomonadales. The record is from RNAcentral.